AGCGAACGCUGGCGGCAGGCCUAACACAUGCAAGUCGAACGAACCUUUCGGGGUUAGUGGCGGACGGGUGAGUAACACGUGGUAACGUGCCUUUAGGUUCGGAAUAACUCAGGGAAACUUGUGCUAAUACCGAAUGUGCCCUUCGGGGGAAAGAUUAAUCGCCUUUAGAGCGGCCCGCGUCUGAUUAGCUAGUUGGUUGAGGUAAUGGCUCACCAAGGCGACGAUCAGUAGCUGGUCUGAGAGGAUGAUCAGCCACAUUGGGACUGAGACACGGACCAAACUCCUACGGGAGGCAGCAGUGGGGAAUCUUGCGCAAUGGGCGAAAGCCUGACGCAGCCAUGCCGCGUGAAUGAUGAAGGUCUUAGGAUUGUAAAAUUCUUUCACCGGGGACGAUAAUGACGGUACCCGGAGAAGAAGCCCCGGCUAACUUCGUG
This 434-nucleotide ribosomal RNA is filed under the name uncultured bacterium. RNAcentral's name for it is "partial 16S ribosomal RNA". It matches the Rfam family "Bacterial small subunit ribosomal RNA", at positions 29 to 507 of the family's 1533-position model. The record is from RNAcentral.